RNAcentral lists this ribosomal RNA (376 nucleotides) under uncultured bacterium. RNAcentral describes it as "bacterial SSU rRNA". It matches the Rfam family "Bacterial small subunit ribosomal RNA", at positions 28 to 404 of the family's 1533-position model. The record is from RNAcentral.
GACGAACGCUGGCGGCGUGCUUAACACAUGCAAGUCGAGCGGUAAGGCCCUUUCGGGGGGUACACGAGCGGCGAACGGGUGAGUAACACGUGGGUGACCUGCCCUCAGCUCUGGGAUAAGCCUGGGAAACUGGGUCUAAUACUGGAUAUGACUCCACGGUGCAUGUCGUGGGGUGGAAAGCCUUGUGCGGCUGAGGAUGGGCCCGCGGCCUAUCAGCUUGUUGGUGGGGNGAUGGCCUACCAAGGCGACGACGGGUAGCCGGCCUGAGAGGGCGACCGGCCACACUGGGACUGAGACACGGCCCAGACUCCUACGGGAGGCAGCAGUGGGGAAUCUUGCGCAAUGGGCGAAAGCCUGACGCAGCGACGCCGCGUGA